RNAcentral lists this transfer RNA (70 nucleotides) under Loxodonta africana (African savanna elephant). It matches the Rfam family "tRNA". From Rfam's summary of the family: Transfer RNA (tRNA) molecules are approximately 80 nucleotides in length. Their secondary structure includes four short double-helical elements and three loops (D, anti-codon, and T loops). The record is from Rfam by way of RNAcentral. Lineage: Eukaryota; Metazoa; Chordata; Mammalia; Proboscidea; Elephantidae.
GCAGUGGUGGUUCAGUGGUAGAAUUCUCACCUUCUAUGCAGGAGACCAGGGUUGAUUCCCUGCCAAUGCG